This is a long non-coding RNA of Amphiprion ocellaris (clown anemonefish), 1008 nucleotides long. The record is from Ensembl. NCBI's taxonomy places the organism in Eukaryota, Metazoa, Chordata, Actinopteri, Pomacentridae.
ACAUGAUGUCAUUUCCUCCUGAAGAAAAGACUGGCCAGACUCCAAGGUGGCGGAUGGAGGAGUUCUGGGUGGACAGGGUGCUGGACAGCAGCGGCAUGAGGCUCCUGAAUCCUUCCCUCAGCUCCUCCACGUGCUUCUCCAGGCUGUGGAUGUGAGUGUCCAGCUCCCCCCGGCAGCCCUGCACCUCGGCCAGCAUGUCGUACAUCAGGCUCUGCAUCUGCGUGUACGGACGCAGAAAGAAGCGAGAUAAAGGAUCUGAUUAGUCGAGUCAAAACAAUGGCGAAGGUUGACCAAAGUGCUUUACAGUUCAAUAAUAGAAAACAAGACAUAAUCUGUGAGGAAAUAUACAGAGCUAGAUGAACAAUGACAUAUAUUAGCUAUAAUUGAAAGCCAGGGAGUACAUGUGUGUCUUCAGCAGGCACUUGAAGAUAUCAAGAGACUGAACAGUUCUAAUUGGAACAGGUAAGCGGUUCCACAGACAGCCACAGAAAACCUGUUUCUGAACCUGGAUCUGGGAACUUUAAGGACCAUCUGAUUGGCCGACUUCAGCGAUAAAACUGGAGCAUGGACAGCUAAAAGCUCAAAUGAAUAAGAACCCAUUUAACACCUUAAAAAAAUGUAGAAAAUAAAGAUCAGACGCUGCUCUGUUGAUGCCUUCGCUUCUGUCUCUCACCUUGUUCAGGUCCACCAUCGUGUUCCCCUGAUCGGCGAGUAUCCUCUUCUCGAUCUUCACCCUCCGCAGCCUGGAUGCAGAAAUAUUCAGUUUUAUGACACAUUUACUGAAAAAUUAUAAAGGUCUAAUGCGUACACGUGACCAAAAACAACCCAUGAAUGCAACACACUCAGCGGUUUUCAUGGGGGAAGUUUAGUAUCAAGUCCUGACAGUAAAUACGUUUACAGGGAACUCUGUGGAUUAAGCAGAAAAAACACAUUCAGUUUUAUGUCUUCAUUCAGUUAAAAUAAACCAAAUUUUUGGCCCCUGGCGAAAUUAAAGGCUAAUAGUGACAC